Molecule: non-coding RNA, 25 nt
Filed under: Cricetulus griseus (Chinese hamster)
Lineage: Eukaryota; Metazoa; Chordata; Mammalia; Rodentia; Cricetidae
Source: RNAcentral
GGAGAAUCACUGAGAGCUGCUACCG